CCUCCCCCUCGUCACGGCGUGAGCGUGCACGCACCUUUUGACGUCCCCCCAUGCGGCCCCCCCUGCGUGAAGCUGAAAGUGGAGGCAGAGAGCGCGAGGCCGUGCCCUGAACUCACUCACGGGGAAAUUCCAUGGCGGCGUCCGCCUGCCCCUCACAGGCUCCGCGCGCUUUGCCCAAUCGCGGCGUCUAUCUGCCAUUAAUUCCAAACCGAGCUCUUUUGUGCACUUAUCCGAUGUCCAUCGGGAGUCUGAAGAAAGUCUACAGAAGAAAGAAAGAAAUUUUUUCUGGACCAAAGAGAUGCCGGUCUGAAACGUAGGAAGAAUCUAAAAGGUGGCCAUACCAGCCUCAAGGGAACUCCAAGACACACCUGUGCACCACAUACAAUGUGACCACUCCUCUCUACGACCCUCCACGGGCCCCGCAGAACCC
Long non-coding RNA from Oryzias melastigma (Indian medaka), 430 nucleotides. RefSeq lists it as uncharacterized. The transcript is spliced from 3 exons. The record is from RefSeq and is a predicted model, not a curated record. Lineage: Eukaryota; Metazoa; Chordata; Actinopteri; Beloniformes; Adrianichthyidae.